AAACCGUCCCAAGCAUGGUCCAUGGCUGCCUGCGCCUGAAUCUUCCCCAUUACCGCCUUCUUCUUGGGCUAAGAGAACUGGGUUCCGGCCUAAGUUCUCAGGAGAGACCAAUGCUAGUGAUUCCGGUCAGAUUUCCCUCCCCACGAAGCCCAGAGAGCAGCCUGAUAAUCAACCGGAUCUUGAAGAUGGUCGUGGGAGAGCAGCUCCGACGAAGACGGCUAUUACACCAUCACCAGCUGCUGUGAAUGGCACUGAAACGGCGGUGCCAACUGAGAAUAAAGAUCAUACGGUAAAGAGGAGGAGGGAUUCUGAUGGUGGUGGGGCUCCCAAGAAAGAGUCGGGUCAUGGUGCUAAUGGGCAGGGUCCGGCAGGGCCCACGGAGGG
Molecule: unclassified non-coding RNA, 384 nt
Filed under: Hevea brasiliensis (rubber tree)
Lineage: Eukaryota; Viridiplantae; Streptophyta; Magnoliopsida; Malpighiales; Euphorbiaceae
Source: RNAcentral